GUUGAGUCCUUAGGACUGGAGCACCUGGCCCAAUAUACAGUGGGCUGUCCUCUUUCCACACUUCCCAUUGCAUCCCAGGACAAAAGUUCUUAGUCAUCUGUAACCAGACCACAGGACAAGGGCCCCGUGGAAGCAAAGUCCCCAUUGGAUGCCAGCUCACCCCGACUUAUCCUGGAGUUUUCUGUCCUGAGUUUUCCAACUUCUGCAUGCAAUUUUCUCUCCCACGCCAGCAAGUUGAGCUGUGCACAGCUUUGUGGGCACUCUGAGGGACUGGGCAGCAUUAAUAAUUCAGGU
Molecule: long non-coding RNA, 294 nt
Filed under: Homo sapiens (human)
Lineage: Eukaryota; Metazoa; Chordata; Mammalia; Primates; Hominidae
Description: HSALNT0039649
Source: RNAcentral